RNAcentral lists this ribosomal RNA (876 nucleotides) under uncultured Gemella sp. RNAcentral describes it as "bacterial SSU rRNA". It matches the Rfam family "Bacterial small subunit ribosomal RNA". Lineage: Bacteria; Bacillati; Bacillota; Bacilli; Caryophanales; Gemellaceae. The record is from RNAcentral.
GACGAACGCUGGCGGCGUGCCUAAUACAUGCAAGUCGAGCGGACUUUAAGAGUGCUUGCACACUUAAAGUUAGCGGCGAACGGGUGAGUAACACGUAAAGAACCUACCUUAUAGACAGGGACAACUAUUGGAAACGAUAGCUAAUACCUGAUAAGAAAGAAACUCGCAUGAGAGAAAAUCGAAAGUCGGAGCAAUCUGACACUAUAAGAUGGCUUUGCGGUGCAUUAGCUAGUUGGUAGGGUAAAAGCCUACCAAGGCGACGAUGCAUAGCCGACCUGAGAGGGUGAUCGGCCACAUUGGGACUGAGACACGGCCCAGACUCCUACGGGAGGCAGCAGUAGGGAAUCUUCCGCAAUGGACGAAAGUCUGACGGAGCAACGCCGCGUGAGUGAAGAAGGAUUUCGGUUCGUAAAACUCUGUUGUUAGGGAAGAAAAAAUGUAUAGUAACUAUAUACAAAAGAGACGGUACCUAACCAGAAAGCCACGGCUAACUACGUGCCAGCAGCCGCGGUAAUACGUAGGUGGCAAGCGUUGUCCGGAAUUAUUGGGCGUAAAGCGCGCGCAGGUGGUUUAGAAAGUCUGAUGUGAAAGCCCACGGCUCAACCGUGGAGGGUCAUUGGAAACUAAUAAACUUGAGUGCAGGAGAGAAAAGUGGAAUUCCUAGUGUAGCGGUGAAAUGCGUAGAGAUUAGGAGGAACACCGGUGGCGAAAGCGGCUUUUUGGCCUGCAACUGACACUGAGGCGCGAAAGCGUGGGAGCAAACAGGAUUAGAUACCCUGGUAGUCCAAGGGCGAAUUCCACAGUGGAUAUCAAGCUUAUCGAUACCGUCGACUCGAGGGGGGCCCGGUACCCAUUUUUGUUCCCUUUAUGAGGGUU